AAGAAGAGAAGAAAAGAAGAACAAAAAGAGGUAGCCAUUCUAGACCCCUCCCUUACAUUCUAACUCUCCUUUUUUUUUUUUUUUUUUUUUUUUUUU
This 96-nucleotide non-coding RNA is filed under the name Lotharella globosa. The record is from RNAcentral. Lineage: Eukaryota; Cercozoa; Chlorarachniophyceae.